CCUACGGGUGGCAGCAGUAGGGAAUAUUGCUCAAUGGGGGAAACCCGGAAGCAGCAACGCCGCGUGGAGGAUGAAGGUGGUAGGAGUGUAAACUCCUUGUGGUAGAGAAGAGGAGGACGGUAUCUAACGAAUAAGCACCGGCGAACGCCGUGCCAGCAGCCGCGGUAAUACGGAGGGGGCAAGCGUUACUCGGAAUCACUGGGCGUAAAGAGUGCGUAGGCGGGGGAAGAAGUCAGAUGUGAAAUCCUGUCGCUGAACUACAGAACUGCAUUUGAAACUGUUACUCUGACGUGUGGGGGAGGUAGGUGUAGUUCUUGGUGUGGGGGUAAAGUCCGUGUCACUCAAGAG
RNAcentral lists this ribosomal RNA (348 nucleotides) under uncultured bacterium. Its description in RNAcentral is "partial 16S ribosomal RNA". It matches the Rfam family "Bacterial small subunit ribosomal RNA", at positions 338 to 703 of the family's 1533-position model. The record is from RNAcentral.